GAUGAACGCUGGCGGCGUGCCUAAUACAUGCAAGUCGAGCGAACGGACGAGAAGCUUGCUUCUCUGAUGUUAGCGGCGGACGGGUGAGUAACACGUGGAUAACCUACCUAUAAGACUGGGAUAACUUCGGGAAACCGUAGCUAAUGCCGGAUAAUAUUUUGAACCGCAUGGUUCAAAAGUGAAAGACGGUCUUGCUGUCACUUAUAGAUGGAUCCGCGCUGCAUUAGCUAGUUGUUAAGGUAACGGCUUACCAAGGCAACGAUGCAUAGCCGACCUGAGAGGGUGAUCGGCCACACUGGAACUGAGACACGGUCCAGACUCCUACGGGAGGCAGCAGUAGGGAAUCUUCCGCAAUGGGCGAAAGCCUGACGGAGCAACGCCGCGUGAGUGAUGAAGGUCUUCGGAUCGUAAAACUCUGUUAUUAGGGAAGAACAUAUGUGUAAGUAACUGUGCACAUCUUGACGGUACCUAAUCAGAAAGCCACGGCUAACUACGUG
Molecule: ribosomal RNA, 497 nt
Filed under: uncultured bacterium
Lineage: Bacteria
Description: partial 16S ribosomal RNA
Rfam family: Bacterial small subunit ribosomal RNA
Source: RNAcentral